GGCUGGCUGGCUCAGCUGUGAGAGCAUGGGACUCCUGAUCUCAGGGUUGUGAGUUCAAGCCCACGCUGGGUG
This 72-nucleotide transfer RNA is filed under the name Canis lupus familiaris (dog). It matches the Rfam family "tRNA". From Rfam's summary of the family: Transfer RNA (tRNA) molecules are approximately 80 nucleotides in length. Their secondary structure includes four short double-helical elements and three loops (D, anti-codon, and T loops). Further hydrogen bonds mediate the characteristic L-shaped molecular structure. tRNAs have two regions of fundamental functional importance: the anti-codon, which is responsible for specific mRNA codon recognition, and the 3' end, to which the tRNAs corresponding amino acid is attached (by aminoacyl-tRNA synthetases). tRNAs cope with the degeneracy of the genetic code in two manners: having more than one tRNA (with a specific anti-codon) for a particular amino acid; and 'wobble' base-pairing, i.e. permitting non-standard base-pairing at the 3rd anti-codon position. The record is from Rfam by way of RNAcentral. RNAcentral also lists the same sequence under 3 other names. Lineage: Eukaryota; Metazoa; Chordata; Mammalia; Carnivora; Canidae.